AUGGACAGAUUUGAAAGAAGACUUACAACUUUAAGGAAUUGCCACCGAAAGUGUGAAGAGAAAUUUGAAAAUGCUUGGGACCACUGCAAAGAGAGCCGUGGUGAUGAACCUGGGAGCCCCCCAUCAACACCACCACCAUCCAGAGAAGACGAGGUGCUCAGAGAGGAGCUUCUGUCAUCCAGUGGGUCUGAUGCAGAUCCAUUGGAUGAGGACUACAAACCAUCUCCAUCGCCAUCAUCCAGUGAAGAUGAGUUGCUUGCACUAGAGUCCCAGUCAUCCUGCCACAAUACUCCAGAGAAGCACCACAGUCAUGCAUCAUCCAGUGAAACUGGCACCAGAGAAGCUGAGAACCAGAAGGCCAAAGGUAAAGCAGUUCAAAAAGGUACAAAGUCAAAAGCAAAAGGAGGGACGUUUAAAGAUGAUAAAAAGAUUACUGUUAAAAGAAGCAUAACAAAGGAUGGUGCCAGAGUCUGGGACAAAGUCCAUUACUGUGUAUUCUGUGAAAAGGCUCAGUUGAAGAUAGCUAGACAUCUAGAAAGAAAACAUCGUAUGGAACGCGAUGUCGCCUAUGCUUUUAGUUUCCCAGUUGGCUCAAAACAAAGGAAGAUUCUGAUAGAAGGCCUUCGUAAUAAGGGUGACUGGCAUCACAAUCGCAUGGUCUACAAGGAAGGAAAUGGUGAGAUUGUAGUAUGGAAACGGCCCUCUGAGAAGGCAGACAUAGAGAGCUACCUACCAUGUCAACACUGUUACGCAAUGUUCAAGAGGACUGAACUCUGGAGACAUGAGAAGUCAUGUAGAGAACGGAAAGAGGAAAGACAGAAAGGCAAAAGAGUACAAAAAUCUUCCUCACAUCUACUUCCAAUCAAAUUAGGCCAAGGAGUACAAAAGAUCAUCCACUCCAUGCAACAAGAUCAUGUAACCUCUCACAUCAGAAGUGAUGAGAUGAUUUGUGCGUAUGGAGAUGCAUUAUUUGCAAAAAAGGGCCGUGAAGAAUCUCAGCACAGAUACAUUGCACAAAAGCUGAGAGAACUAGGACGGUUUAUGUUGGCUGCCAAGGAGAUUGAUGAGCGUUCCGAAACUCUUAAAGACAUUUGUGAUCCAGCAAAUUUUAAACUGGCAAUCGAAGCAGCCAGACACGUGUCAAACUAUGAUGUAAACAAGAACGAAUAUGGAAAGCCAUCUACAGCUGUUAAAAUUGGGUUUUCACUCAAAGGGGCCACUGAAGCCUGGAUAGGCCACUGCUUGAUGGACUCUGAUGUCAAAACUGAGAAGGCGGCAAAGAAGUUCAAGGAGUUGCUGGAGAGCUCAUGGUCCAUUCAUGUGUCGACUAAUGCUCAUAGCUCAUUGGAGCAACGGCGGUGGGGCAAAGAAGACACUGUACCUCUGACAGAGGAUGUUAUCACUCUCCAGAACUACCUGAGGAAAGCUGAGGAUGAGGCAAAGGCAAAGUUAACCGAGCGCGUGAGUACUACAGCAUACAGGAAGUUAAGUGAGAGCCUUCUUGCACAAAUAAUUGUGUUCAAUAAGAAGCGUGAAGGAGAAGCAUCACGUUUAACCCUUGAGACAUAUCUAAAAGCAGACACCGGUCCUGUUAAUAAGGACAUUUAUGAGACUCUAUCGCCUGUGGAAAAACAAAUGAGCCACAGACUGACACGUUUGGUGACACGCGGAAAGAGAGGCAAAAAGGUGCCCAUCCUUCUUCUUGAGCGCACAAAAGCUUCGCUUGACUUCCUGAUUGAAAAACGGAGGGAAGUUGGCAUACUUGAGGAGAACCCCUUUCUGUUUGCCAGGCUUAGCACAACAACCAAUCUCCGUGGGUGUGACUGCCUCAGAAGAUAUGCAGAAGAGAGCAAGGCCAAAAACCCAGAACUGCUGAGAUCAACAAGGCUGAGGAAACACGUCGCUACCUUGUGUCAGCUUCUCGACCUCAGCAAUCAGGAACUUGAGCAAGUUGCUCGUUUUAUGGGACAUGAUAUCCGAGUCCACUGCGAGUAUUAUCGACAGACAGAUAAAACAUUCCAAGUGGCCAAGAUUGGCAAACUUCUGAUGGAGCAUGGAGCAGAGUCACUGAAAGGGAAGAGUCUGCAAACACUGGACUCCGUUAUCAGUGGCAAAAGACACGCAGCCACCCCAACUAAAGAUCUGAAAGGUGUCAAAAAGAGAAGGACGUCAGAUGCAGGAAUUCAACAGGAAGCUCAUGAAGAUGGACUGGUGCACCAGGAGAUAGGUGGAGGACAAAUGGAGAGAACUGCAGAAAAACAUGAUGAUGAUGCUCCAGAAAGGGUAGUCAAGAACCGAGGUAAGAGACCCUGGAAUGAACAGGAGAGGACGGCAGUCAAACGACGCCUUGCCAAGUCAAUCGCCCGUAAAAUGGUUCCAGGAAAGCAGGACUGCCUGAUGUGCAUUGCCAAAGAGUCUCCAGUCCUAAGUGCUCGGACGUGGAAAGACGUGAAGUAUUUUGUAUACAAUGAAAUUCUUAAAGUUAAAAGAAAGCUUGCAUUAUGAAUGAAUUGACUUUGAAUUUCCUCCCUCUGUUGUAUUUCCCGUGUUUUAAAGGGUGAAUUGUCUGUUAGUUUGUUCAUUUGUUAGCACUUGAACGAUAAUAAUAAAUGCUGGUUUAUUUAUUAAGUUGUUAAUGUC
Long non-coding RNA from Cyprinus carpio (common carp), 2640 nucleotides. The record is from Ensembl. NCBI's taxonomy places the organism in Eukaryota, Metazoa, Chordata, Actinopteri, Cypriniformes, Cyprinidae.